This 429-nucleotide ribosomal RNA is filed under the name uncultured bacterium. RNAcentral describes it as "bacterial SSU rRNA". It matches the Rfam family "Bacterial small subunit ribosomal RNA", at positions 355 to 775 of the family's 1533-position model. The record is from RNAcentral.
UGGGGAAUAUUGCGCAAUGGGGGAAACCCUGACGCAGCGACGCCGUGUGAGGGAAGAAGGCCUUCGGGUCGUAAACCUCUGUCGGGAGGGAAGAACCGCCGGUUUCCGAACAGGGAGCCGGCCUGACGGUACCUCCGAAGGAAGCGCCGGCUAACUCCGUGCCAGCAGCCGCGGUAAUACGGAGGGCGCGAGCGUUAAUCGGAAUCACUGGGCGUAAAGGGCGCGUAGGCGGGCAGAUAAGUCGGGAGGGAAAGCGCACGGCUCAACCGAGGAAUUGCGUUCGAUACUGGUUGGCUUGAGUCCUGGAGAGGGUGGCGGAAUUCCGGGUGUAGGAGUGAAAUCCGUAGAUAUCCGGAGGAACACCGGUGGCGAAGGCGGCCACCUGGACAGGUGCUGAUGCUGAGGUGCGAAAGCGUGGGGAGCAAACAG